AGCAGUCGCCGCGGUAAUACGAAAGGGGCUAGCGUUGUUCGGAUUUACUGGGCGUAAAGGGCGCGUAGGCGGACUGAUAAGUCAGGGGUGAAAUCCCAAGGCUCAACCUUGGAACUGCCUUUGAUACUGGGUAUCUUGAGUAUGGAAGAGGUGAGUGGAAUUCCGAGUGUAGAGGUGAAAUUCGUAGAUAUUCGGAGGAACACCAGUGGCGAAGGCGGCUCACUGGUCCAUUACUGACGCUGAGGUGCGAAAGCGUGGGGAGCAAACAGGAUUAGAGACCCGCGUAGUCCCUGUCUCUUAUAC
Molecule: ribosomal RNA, 303 nt
Filed under: uncultured bacterium
Lineage: Bacteria
Description: partial 16S ribosomal RNA
Rfam family: Bacterial small subunit ribosomal RNA
Source: RNAcentral